GAGAAGGUUUUAAAUAGCCCUGCGAGUCAUUGUAGUAAUACAAGGGAGACGGCUCAAUAACGGGUAGACGGCCUACCCUAAGGACGGGGAUAACCUCGGGAAACUGAGAAUAAUACCCGAUAGAACAUAGCUCCUGGAAUGGUUUAUGUUUCAAAUAAUUUAUUGCCCUGGGAUGGGACUGCGGCCUAUCAGUUUGUUGGUGAGGUAAUGGCCCACCAAGACUAUUACAGGUACGGGCUCUGAGAGGAGUGGCCCGGAGAUGGGUACUGAGACACGGACCCAGGCCCUAUGGGGCGCAGCAGGCGAGAAAACUUUGCAAUGUGCGAAAGCACGACAAGGUUAAUCCGAGUGGUUUCUGCUAAAGGAACCUUUUGUCAGUCCUAGAAACACUGAUGAAUAAGGGGUGGGCAAGUUCUGGUGUCAGCCGCCGCGGUAAAACCAGCACCUCAAGUGGUCAGGAUGAUUAUUGGGCCUAAAGCAUCCGUAGCCGGCUUUGUAAGUUUUCGGUUAAAUCCAUGCGCUCAACGUAUGGGCUGCCGGGAAUACUGCAAAGCUAGGGAGUGGGAGAGGUAGACGGUACUCGGUAGGAAGGGGUAAAAUCCUUUGAUCUAUUGAUGACCACCUGUGGCGAAGGCGGUCUACCAGAACACGUCCGACGGUGAGGGAUGAAAGCUGGGGGAGCAAACCGGAUUAGAUACCCGGGUAGUCCCAGCUGUAAACUAUGCAAACUCAGUGAUGCAUUGGCUUGUGGCCAAUGCAGUGCUGCAGGGAAGCCGUUAAGUUUGCCGCCUGGGAAGUACGUACGCAAGUAUGAAACUUAAAGGAAUUGGCGGGGGAGCACCACAAGGGGUGAAGCCUGCGGUUCAAUUGGAGUCAACGCCGGG
Molecule: ribosomal RNA, 884 nt
Filed under: uncultured archaeon
Lineage: Archaea
Description: bacterial SSU rRNA
Rfam family: Archaeal small subunit ribosomal RNA
Source: RNAcentral